Molecule: ribosomal RNA, 497 nt
Filed under: uncultured bacterium
Lineage: Bacteria
Description: partial 16S ribosomal RNA
Rfam family: Bacterial small subunit ribosomal RNA
Source: RNAcentral
GAUGAACGCUGGCGGCGUGCCUAAUACAUGCAAGUCGAGCGAACAGACGAGGAGUUUGUUCCUGUGUAGUUAGCGGCGGACGGGUGAGUAACAAGUGGAUAACCUACCUAUAUGACUGGGAUAACUUCGGGAAACCGGAGCUAAUACGGGAUAAUAUAUUGAAUCGCAUGGUUCAAUAGUGAAAGACGGUUUUGCUGUCACUUAUAGAUGGAUCCGCGCCGCAUUAGCUAGUUGGUAAGGUAACGGCUUACCAAGGCAACGAUGCGUAGCCGACCUGAGAGGGUGAUCGUCCACACUGGAACUGAGACACGGUCCAGACUCCUACGGGAGGCAGCAGUAGGGAAUCUUCCGCAAGGGCCGAAAGCGUGACGGAGCAACACCGCGUGAGUGAUGAGGAUCAUCGGAUCGUGGAACUCUGUUAUUAGCGAAGAACAAAUGUGUAAUUAACUAUGCACGUCUUGACGGUACCUAAACAGAAAGCCACGGCUAACUACGUG